GACGAACGCUGGCGGCGUGCCUAACACAUGCAAGUCGAACGGACGAAGCCCUUCGGGGCCUAGUUAGUGGCGAACGGGUGAGUAACGCGUGAGGAACCUGCCUUUCAGAGGGGGACAACAGCUGGAAACGGCUGCUAAUACCGCGUAACGCAACGAGACCGCAUGAUCUUGUUGCCAAAGAUUUAUCGCUGAAAGAUGGCCUCGCGUCUGAUUAGCUAGUUGGUGGGUAACGGCCUACCAAGGCGACGAUCAGUAGCCGGACUGAGAGGUUGAUCGGCCACAUUGGGACUGAGAUACGGCCCAGACUCCUACGGGAGGCAGCAGUGGGGAAUAUUGGGCAAUGGGGGAAACCCUGACCCAGCAACGCCGCGUGAAGGAAGAAGG
This 384-nucleotide ribosomal RNA is filed under the name uncultured bacterium. RNAcentral describes it as "bacterial SSU rRNA". It matches the Rfam family "Bacterial small subunit ribosomal RNA", at positions 28 to 414 of the family's 1533-position model. The record is from RNAcentral.